CAGCGAUAUGAAGAGGUCCAACUCUGGAAUCGAGAUCGCCAAUCCAACUGGAACAGGCCACGGGAAUUAAAUGCGAGGAUUUAUAAAUAAACGGAAGCGAUUCAAAAAACUAAAAUCGAGGAAUAUACUCACAAGGAACUGAGAUACUCGUUCCACGCUAUAUCGAUGGCGACGUAGCACUGAAUGGGAUGAGUGAAGAAAAUAGCGAUAGCCAGGAGAAUUUGCACCGCGAUUCCCAGAUCUUCGGUCGGUAGAUUGAGCGUGAUGCUACCAGCGAUUUUGCUACCGUAACAUAUAUAUCCGAAGAAACCUAGGGCUGCAUACAUGGAGAUUUUAGCUGAUUACUUACCACGCCAAUGGACUCGAGGGCAAACAGGACGGUGCCAAAGAAAAGUGGAAAAUUCUUGACCUCCCCAACUGUCACGCGGUCUUUGAACGUCAACGGCUCUCGGAAGAUGUAGUAAAGUAU
Molecule: long non-coding RNA, 469 nt
Organism: Ooceraea biroi (clonal raider ant)
Lineage: Eukaryota; Metazoa; Arthropoda; Insecta; Hymenoptera; Formicidae
Source: RefSeq, a predicted model, not a curated record